Molecule: long non-coding RNA, 1623 nt
Organism: Zalophus californianus (California sea lion)
Lineage: Eukaryota; Metazoa; Chordata; Mammalia; Carnivora; Otariidae
Source: Ensembl
GGAGUGAGUGUGUGUGUGUGUGUGUGUGUGUGUGUGUGUGUGUGGUGCGCGCGCGCGAACGGGGGCGCGCGUAUGAGGGCGGGCGCGCGCGAGCGAGGAAAGAGGGAGAGAAUGAAGAGGACAGGGAGAGCGCAGAGAGGAAAACUGCAGGAAACCACAGGGAAAGUACGGGUCACAGAAUGACAAAGAGGUAGGUGUAUCAACAGAUUUUGGAGUGGGAGUAUGAAGAGUGGGAGAAAUACGCCUAGGCUACUAUGGGAUCCUUGAAGAGGCUGUGUGGGUUAGGGAGCACCGGCGGAAGAGGCUUUCCUGAGACAAAGGCUGCUAUCUCUUGCUACACAGUGAAGCACUUUGGAGAACUAAAUUUUUUUCUCAGACAUAUGAGGCCGAUGUGAAUAUCAAAAUGAUAUAGAGGACCAAGGAAGAAUAACUCUUGAAAUCAUAAUAGUUUACAUGAACUCAUAUUUAAUUAGAUUCUUGGUAAGUAUGCAGUAUAUUAUUAAUGACUGCUUAUUUACCCAGCAACCGUAUUUGUUUUUGGCAAAUUAAUUUUAUGCUGUGAUGUGGAAUAAUACUUAGCUUUCUGUAACUGUUGAAAAUGCACUAGCAAUACUGUGUCACGUGCUAUGCUUAAUGGCCAUUGCUAAAGCUAGACAGAAAUAUGGUAAGACAAUUAAUAGCAUUCAUUUUGCCUUUACAAUUCCUUAAGUUUUCUAAUACUAGAAAAUACCAAUAAAAGCUUAAAAAAUUGUUACGUAUAGCUGAAACUCAAAGUUAUUUUUUGACAUCAUUGUAAGGAAUACUAUGAAUCUUAUAUAUCUUGAUAUCCUAUGUACAGAAAGUGACAUCUACUGGAGAAAACAGAACUGAAUAUUUACUUUCCAAACUCUUUCCCUGGUAAACUUCCAGGCAAGUUUCACUAUCCUCAAGAUUAUCCCAAACUUCUAGAACAAAGAAAGAUUUUAUUUAGCUUAGUAUGGUAUAAAGGCUGGCUUGUUUUGGCUAUCAUUUUGUCAAAGAUACCCUCUGGGAAAAAGUGGUUAUGAGGGCUACACAAAUGAUCUCGUAAGAAACACUACUGAAGACUUCAGGAAAACACAACUCUAGCAAAUUCCCUUAAGGGUGAAAUUGGGGUUCUAAAUCACUACAAAGCAGUAAGUGACCAAUUUGAACAGAACUCUGUCGUAACAAACCGUCUGGAGACAUGUUUGGGAAAUUUGUCACUUCUUUAAAUGGUCUGGAAUAGGAAUUAUAAAACAAAGGACGGGAUUCAAAUAUAUAACUUCUCUCUGACAUAAAGGCAUCCCUAUGCUACUUUGGAGCUUGAUCAUUUCUGUUCAUUCGUGCUAAAAAAUGUGUCUAACUCCAUGAUUUAAUCAAACCCUGUUCUUAGGGCAUUAGGGGAUACCACCAAGGUAUUUUUCACACAUGGUCAAAACUAAGAAGUGACCUGGAGCUCUGAAAGACAGAACAGACAUCAGCUUCUUUCUUGUGACACUAAUUCCCAAUAUUUAAGUAAUCACUCUUCCCUAAGGAAAACAAAAGCCUUUCUUCCCGUACUAGAAGCUACCGUGCCAGCCAUUUUCAAGACAGAAAGAGUGAGGCACAGCUAUGUUCGGUGAG